Molecule: ribosomal RNA, 773 nt
Filed under: uncultured Neocallimastigales
Lineage: Eukaryota; Fungi; Neocallimastigomycota; Neocallimastigomycetes; Neocallimastigales
Description: partial large subunit ribosomal RNA
Rfam family: Eukaryotic large subunit ribosomal RNA
Source: RNAcentral
GUACACGCUGUGACUAGCAUAUCAAUAAGCGGAGGAAAAGAAACUAACAAGGAUUCCCCUAGUAACGGCGAGUGAAGCGGGAAGAGCUCAAAUUUGAAAUCUUAAAGGGUUUCCCUUUACGAAUUGUAGUUUAAAGAAGUGUUUUCUGUUGAGGUUUUGGUAAAAGUUCUUUGGAAUAGGACAUCAUAGAGGGUGAGAAUCCCGUAUUUGACCUUUACUUUCAACUUUGUGAUACACUUUCAAAGAGUCGGAUUGUUUGGGAAUGCAGUCCAAAAUGGGUGGUAAAUUUCAUCUAAAGCUAAAUAUUGGCGAGAGACCGAUAGCGAACAAGUACCGUGAGGGAAAGAUGAAAAGAACUUUGAAAAGAGAGUUAAACGGUACGUGAAAUUGUCAAAAGGGAAGCGUUUGACACCAGUGUUGUUUUUCUGAAAAUCAAUUAAAGAACUGUUUAUGCUAAGUUGUUUAGACUUUAUCAGCUAACUGUUUAGUUUUGAGCUUUUCUUUAAUGCACUUUUCAGUUAACAAGUCAACAUCAAUUUCUUUUGCUGUAAAAAAGCUUGAGGAAGGUGGCUUGAGAUUCGUCUUAAGUGUUUAUAGCCUCUUGCCUAUGCAGUCGGAGAGAUUGAGGUCUGCAGCGUAGAUCCUUCGGGGCUAAAUGCAUUUGUGCUAAGUUAUAGCAUUUCAUAGACAACUUGUUGACUAUGAUUUGUCUUGUAGCUUACUCGCUUAUGUUAUUUUACCUACGCUAGGAUGUUGACAGCAGUAUAGACUGU